AGCUGCAAAAGGCAGGUCCCAAGAAGGAGAGGGUCUGUUCCCCCAUGGUUCCCUCCUGCUUCUUGGUGGCCAUGCUGGCCCCUAUGGUGUUGGCUCUGGAACAGUCCCCAGACACAGUCAUACACCAAGGCCAGUCCGUCAAUCUCAGCUGUUCCAAGAAGAAAUCCACCAGCACAGUUCUAUUUUGGUACAAGCUGCCUUUGGGGAAGGACUCCAGGCUGAUCCUCGUAGUUUCUGCAUUCGUAGGUGGGAAAGCAGAUGUGGAGGUGGAUUUCCAAAGCCAUUUGAAGAGCAGUGGGAUAGAAGGAGACGGGAUGACCCUCUCCAUAGAGCAUGCCUUUCUCAAUGACUCUGGCACGUAUUUCUGUGCUGAGAGUGAAACACAGUGGCUGGGCUGCUGA
Molecule: non-coding RNA, 401 nt
Organism: Calidris pugnax (ruff)
Lineage: Eukaryota; Metazoa; Chordata; Aves; Charadriiformes; Scolopacidae
Source: the annotation of a RefSeq genome assembly